Pecten maximus is the source of this 573-nucleotide long non-coding RNA. RefSeq lists it as uncharacterized. NCBI's taxonomy places the organism in Eukaryota, Metazoa, Mollusca, Bivalvia, Pectinida, Pectinidae. The transcript is spliced from 3 exons. The record is from RefSeq and is a predicted model, not a curated record.
GACCUAUGAAUGCUGUCGUUGCAGAAAUGUUAGCCAAUCGUAGGUCGUACGUUGAGUGAUGGUAUAAAUAGACGCACACCGGCAUGGGACCCGUCAUAGCCACAGCGACAGGGCAGGAAGAUACUGAGCCUAUAAGGAUCGAGCAACUUAAAAUGCUUGGACGAAAUCUGGUGAUAAAUCAAUAUAAACAAGGACGAAGUAGUCACACAACUGACACACAUCACAAUUCAUUUAUUACCUGAAAGGUUCAACCUUUGACCUUCAUCCAAAAUGACGUUAGAGAAACUGUUUUACGUCGGUGUGUAUAUCACACAGAGACACCACAUCUUACCCGUCAGUGGUCUGCUGGCAAGAAACAGUGUUGAGUCCACUAUAAGGAAAGGUCACACCUAUUACGUGUUUGGAAUGAUGAUAAGAAGACAGAAAUUAUCUCAAUUAUGUGUGUAUUCCAAUCAACCAGCAGUGGAUUCCAGUGUACACAAGCAAAUGCAAAUGUUGUAUGAGACAAUAUAAUGACUAAAAUUAGUCAAAAAGUUAACUGAUGUACUACAUAAAGGGAAUCAGUAUUUUAUG